GCAAUCGUAACUCAAAUUGGUUGAGUCUUAGCAUGCGGGUUCGAUUCCUGCCGGUUGCA
RNAcentral lists this transfer RNA (59 nucleotides) under Schleiferilactobacillus harbinensis. RNAcentral's name for it is "tRNA-OTHER". It matches the Rfam family "tRNA". From Rfam's summary of the family: Transfer RNA (tRNA) molecules are approximately 80 nucleotides in length. Their secondary structure includes four short double-helical elements and three loops (D, anti-codon, and T loops). Further hydrogen bonds mediate the characteristic L-shaped molecular structure. tRNAs have two regions of fundamental functional importance: the anti-codon, which is responsible for specific mRNA codon recognition, and the 3' end, to which the tRNAs corresponding amino acid is attached (by aminoacyl-tRNA synthetases). tRNAs cope with the degeneracy of the genetic code in two manners: having more than one tRNA (with a specific anti-codon) for a particular amino acid; and 'wobble' base-pairing, i.e. permitting non-standard base-pairing at the 3rd anti-codon position. The record is from RNAcentral. Lineage: Bacteria; Bacillati; Bacillota; Bacilli; Lactobacillales; Lactobacillaceae.